Molecule: unclassified non-coding RNA, 328 nt
Filed under: soil metagenome
Description: partial contains 5.8S ribosomal RNA, internal transcribed spacer 2, and large subunit ribosomal RNA
Rfam family: 5.8S ribosomal RNA (bases 1-120)
Source: RNAcentral
GAUGAAGAACGUAGCGAAAUGCGAUAAGUAAUGUGAAUUGCAGAAUUCAGUGAAUCAUCGAAUCUUUGAACGCACAUUGCGCCCCCUGGUAUUCCGGGGGGCAUGCCUGUCCGAGCGUCAUUACAACCCUCAAGCUCAGCUUGGUGUUGGGCCCCGCCGCCCCGGCGGGCCCUAAAGUCAGUGGCGGUGCCGUCCGGCUCCGAGCGUAGUAAUUCUUCUCGCUCUGGAGGUCCGGUCGUGUGCUCGCCAGCAACCCCCAAUUUUUUAAGGUUGACCUCGGAUCAGGUAGGGAUACCCGCUGAACUUAACCAUAUCAAUAAGCGGAGGA